GACAGAGGGGGCAAGCGUUGCUCGGAAUUACUGGGCGUAAAGGGCGCGUAGGCGGGAUGGCAAGUCGGUCGUGAAAUCCCUCGGCUCAACCGAGGAACGUCGAUCGAUACUGCUGUUCUUGAGGAUUGCAGAGGAGACUGGAAUUCCCGGUGUAGCGGUGAAAUGUGUAGAGAUCGGGAGGAACACCGGUGGCGAAGGCGGGUCACUGGCCCGGUACUGACGCUGAGGUGCGAAAGCGUGGGGAGCAAACAGG
Molecule: ribosomal RNA, 253 nt
Filed under: uncultured bacterium
Lineage: Bacteria
Description: partial 16S ribosomal RNA
Rfam family: Bacterial small subunit ribosomal RNA
Source: RNAcentral